Molecule: ribosomal RNA, 253 nt
Filed under: uncultured bacterium
Lineage: Bacteria
Description: partial 16S ribosomal RNA
Rfam family: Bacterial small subunit ribosomal RNA
Source: RNAcentral
UACGAAGGUCCCAAGCGUUGUUCGGAAUCACUGGGCGUAAAGGGAGCGUAGGCGGCCAACUAAGUCAGACGUGAAAUCCCUCGGCUUAACCGGGGAACUGCGUCUGAUACUGGAUGGCUUGAAUCCGGGAGAGGGAUGCGGAAUUCCAGGUGUAGCGGUGAAAUGCGUAGAUAUCUGGAGGAAUACCGGUGGCGAAGGCGGCAUCCUGGACCGGCAUUGACGCUGAGGAGCGAAAGCUAGGGGAGCAAACGGG